CACCCCUCAAGCUUGGCUUGGUAUUGGGCUCCGCCGUUCGUUCGGCGGGCCUUAAAAUCAGUGGCGGUGCCCCCGUGGCCCUGAGCGUAGUAAAUCUCCUCGCUUCUGGACCCGGUGGUUGCUGGCCAGCAACACCCAACUUUUCAA
RNAcentral lists this unclassified non-coding RNA (147 nucleotides) under uncultured fungus. Its description in RNAcentral is "sequence contains ITS2". The record is from RNAcentral. Lineage: Eukaryota; Fungi.